This 60-nucleotide transfer RNA is filed under the name Oribacterium sp. Its description in RNAcentral is "tRNA-Thr". It matches the Rfam family "tRNA", at positions 7 to 64 of the family's 71-position model. Rfam says of the family: Transfer RNA (tRNA) molecules are approximately 80 nucleotides in length. Their secondary structure includes four short double-helical elements and three loops (D, anti-codon, and T loops). Further hydrogen bonds mediate the characteristic L-shaped molecular structure. tRNAs have two regions of fundamental functional importance: the anti-codon, which is responsible for specific mRNA codon recognition, and the 3' end, to which the tRNAs corresponding amino acid is attached (by aminoacyl-tRNA synthetases). tRNAs cope with the degeneracy of the genetic code in two manners: having more than one tRNA (with a specific anti-codon) for a particular amino acid; and 'wobble' base-pairing, i.e. permitting non-standard base-pairing at the 3rd anti-codon position. The record is from RNAcentral. Lineage: Bacteria; Bacillati; Bacillota; Clostridia; Lachnospirales; Lachnospiraceae.
GUAGCACAGCCGGUAGUGCAUCUGAUUCGUAAUCAGAAGGUCACCAGUUCGAAUCUGGUC